GAUGAACGCUGGCGGCGUGCCUAAUACAUGCAAGUCGAGCGAACAGACGAGGAGCUUGCUCCUCUGACGUUAGCGGCGGACGGGUGAGUAACACGUGGAUAACCUACCUAUAAGACUGGGAUAACUUCGGGAAACCGGAGCUAAUACCGGAUAAUAUAUUGAACCGCAUGGUUCAAUAGUGAAAGACGGUUUUGCUGUCACUUAUAGAUGGAUCCGCGCCGCAUUAGCUAGUUGGUAAGGUAACGGCUUACCAAGGCAACGAUGCGUAGCCGACCUGAAAGGGUGAUCGGCCACACUGGAACUGAGACACGGUCCAGACUCCUACGGGAGGCAGCAGUAGGGAAUCUUCCGCAAUGGGCGAAAGCUUGACGGAGCAACGCCGCGUGAGUGAUGAAGGUCUUCGGAUCGUAAAACUCUGUUAUUAGGGAAGAACAAAUGUGUAAGUAACUAUGCACGUCUUGACGGUACCUAAUCAGAAGGCCACGGCUAACUACGUG
RNAcentral lists this ribosomal RNA (497 nucleotides) under uncultured bacterium. RNAcentral describes it as "partial 16S ribosomal RNA". It matches the Rfam family "Bacterial small subunit ribosomal RNA", at positions 28 to 507 of the family's 1533-position model. The record is from RNAcentral.